CGUCUAGGCGGGGGAUUAAGUUAGGUGUGAAAUCCCUGGGCUCAACCCAGGAACUGCAUCUAAAACUGGUUCUCUUGAGUUCGGGAGAGGAGAGCGGAAUUCCCGGUGUAGCGGUGAAAUGCGUAGAUAUCGGGAAGAACACCAGUGGCGAAGGCGGCUCUCUGGCCUAGAACUGACGCUGAAGCGCGAAAGCGUGGGGAGCGAACGG
This 208-nucleotide ribosomal RNA is filed under the name uncultured bacterium. RNAcentral describes it as "partial 16S ribosomal RNA". It matches the Rfam family "Bacterial small subunit ribosomal RNA", at positions 568 to 775 of the family's 1533-position model. The record is from RNAcentral.